Molecule: long non-coding RNA, 287 nt
Organism: Hemiscyllium ocellatum (epaulette shark)
Lineage: Eukaryota; Metazoa; Chordata; Chondrichthyes; Orectolobiformes; Hemiscylliidae
Exons: 3
Source: RefSeq, a predicted model, not a curated record
GUGCACCACCUGAACGAAUCACUAGCCAUUGCCAUCCAGGGAUGCCCGUGGUUUCCCAAGAGGAGGAAGCUUAUCUGAGGAGGCGCACUCGGACCACGCAGGGCUGCGGGUCUGACCCGGACCUGCACAUUGUGAUCCAGUGUGCCCGCUCCACACUCAACAGGCCCGACUCCAACUCCAGCCCCAGGAAUCCAAUAAGGUCUUCACCUUCCUCGCGUUCCGGAAGACCCACGAGCUAGUAUUUGAUCUGAAGGUGAAGUUUCAAAAUCAACAGAUGAACCAUUGAC